UUUACAGACAAGGAAACUAAUGAAUAGAGAAGAAGAGGACUUCAUGAAAUCCCCAGAAUUAGAAAUCUCUCUUUCUCGUCCUUCUCCUUCUAGCUCAGAAAAUGGCCGAAAGGUUUUGGCAAGCAACCUUCUUGGGAGAAAUGCAAAUACCAUUGAUUUUUCGAGGCCUCUCAUGGAUGAAGACAUGCUCCUUUUUACAAGUGUGGUCAGGUUCCCUGAUAACUCUUUGUAUGAUCAUGUGGUUGCAGUACCUUGCAGGAACGGGAACGUCAUUCUGAGGGUAGUCCACAUGCAAGUGUUCUAAAGUUGACAUCACUGCUUCAUCAUUCACCUCAUUUUCCCAGAACAGAAGCACCAAGAAAAUUAUCACCAUUAUUAUCAUCAGAGAUCCUUUUUUAAUAGCGAGAACAUUUAAAACCUACUCUUCGAAUAAUUUUGAAAUCUACAAAAUGGCAGCAUGGCCCAGGAGUGUGACUGGCAGUGAAGGAGCUGGGAAGACCUUGGAUGCAGGAAGGUCAUUUAAAGCAAAAGAUUAAGAAGCAGCAAUGCCCCUCUUGUGGCAAGAGUUGGCAGCGUGCGGUUGGUAUGUCAAUGCAUCCAAGGUCCAAGGGCCUGGAUUGUCUGCCAAAUGCUUGGGAGUUGUUUGAUCAGGUUGACAUGCUCCAACAGCAUUGUGGACUGGGCCCACACCUACGCUGAGGUGACCAAUGUCUCCAACUGUUGGAUCUGCUCCACCUUCCAGCAGCAGCUGCGGAGAGUUUGCCCUGGAACGCGUAUCCUGCUUCUGUUAAGAACUGGACAUGGCUAGAAGCUUGGGGUCCCACGGACAAUGGGUGGGAUGCCACAGGGCGGGCUUUGGAUAGGAGGCAUCACAAAACCCAUGGCAAACCUGGCCCUUGGCUGACUCAUAGUGUCCAUGAUGGAUGGAGCUGGCUAAUGGGAGAACACGUGGUGCCCCCAUUGCAGGUAUCACAAUGUAUAGAGCAGCACUGGGGUAAAGUCACUGUGGGAUGGUUGCCUACUGAGGUUUGUGCAAACAUAACAUGUGUCACCACACCAAGGGUGCAGUGGAACAAGCGGCCUUACGAAGGCCAGGCCCCCAUGGACUUUGUGCCCCCUGGGAGUUUAUGGGUCUGUGGGGACACAGGAUGGCCAUAUCUCCCAGCCAACUGGACUGGACAUUGUACCUGGGGUUGGCCCUAUGUGCCUGCCACUGGGCUUCCCACAUUGCCUAGUCGCCACAUAACUGGGAGCCACUGUGUUCCUGCUUUUUCCCAGUGCAGCAGGCCCUCUAGUGGUUCUAUCCCUUAGCAAUGACUAUCCCUGGAGCAGGCGUCAUUACUAUAGAAAAGCAAGUUGCAGCCUUUGCAGACCACACAGCUCGGUCCCGAGUUGCCCUCCUUUUGUUAACUGAUGAAGUUGAUCAGAUCAGGAAGGUGGUGCUGCAAAACCAGAUGGCCUUAGACAUAGUCGCAGCUGCCCAAGGUGGCACCUGUGCCCUUGUAGGGACACAAGGUUGUACAUUUAUCCCUGACAACCACUGGAAUAUAAUGGCAGCUUCACAAGGGGUGUCAUAGGAGAUUAAGGUGAUUGAGCACCUUACUGAUGACCCCCUGCAGAGAUGGUGGGCGUCUUUGGGAUCUGGCCUACAAUGGGCUCUCAUAAUCAUAGGUAGCAUAGCAGGAAUAUUAGUGGUAGGUUGUUGCUGUCUGUGUUGUUGCUGUGGCCUAUGGGUCCAGGGUGCUGCCACAUGUGCAUGGGUCCCCACCAAGAGGAUUCCCUGGCCUAGAGGGUGGAGUGUAAGGAACAUGGCUGUGUGCAGGCAAGCAGGCAUAGGCCAAGGUAAACAGCCUAGAUGACUCAGUGGGAUUGGGGCACAAGUGCACAGUCCCAUAUCUUAUAUAAUCAUAGCCGUGUAGGCACAACAUAAAGAAGCUCCCCACCUGGCUCUCAGUCACUAUCGUUUGUGUAGUGUAUAAAUGUAACACUGACCCUGUGAAGGGGCUGCUGAAUAAAGCCAUGUCUCAUUUA
Molecule: long non-coding RNA, 2031 nt
Filed under: Homo sapiens (human)
Lineage: Eukaryota; Metazoa; Chordata; Mammalia; Primates; Hominidae
Description: RNASE11 and RNASE12 antisense RNA 1 (RNASE11-AS1)
Source: RNAcentral